GACGAACGCUGGCGGCGUGCUUAACACAUGCAAGUCGAACGGAAAGGCCCUGCUUGCAGGGUACUCGAGUGGCGAACGGGUGAGUAACACGUGGGUGAUCUGCCCUGCACUUCGGGAUAAGCCUGGGAAACUGGGUCUAAUACCGGAUAGGAGCCAUCCUUAGUGUGAUGGUUGGAAAGUUUUUUCGGUGUAGGAUGAGCUCGCGGCCUAUCAGCUUGUUGGUGGGGUAAUGGCCUACCAAGGCGGCGACGGGUAGCCGGCCUGGGAGGGUGGACGGCCACAAUGGGGCUUGGGUUCGGGCCAGGCUCCUACGGGGGGCAACAGUGGGGAAUAUUGCACAAUGGGGGCGAGCCUGAUGCAGCGACGCCGCGUGGGGGAUGACGGCCUUCGGGUUGGAAACUCGUUUCGCUAGGGACGAAGCUUUUUGUGACGGUACCUAGAUAAGAAGCACCGGCUAACUACGUG
Molecule: ribosomal RNA, 465 nt
Filed under: uncultured bacterium
Lineage: Bacteria
Description: partial 16S ribosomal RNA
Rfam family: Bacterial small subunit ribosomal RNA
Source: RNAcentral